CGGACGUGAGGAGCCUGCCUCGAAAAGGGGGACAACAGUUGGAAACGACUGCUAAUACCGCAUAAGCCCACAGCUCGGCAUCGAGCAGAGGGAAAAGGAGUGAUCCGCUUUGAGAUGGCCUCGCGUCCGAUUAGCUAGUUGGUGAGGUAAUGGCCCACCAAGGCGACGAUCGGUAGCCGGACUGAGAGGUUGAACGGCCACAUUGGGACUGAGACACGGCCCAG
Molecule: ribosomal RNA, 224 nt
Filed under: uncultured bacterium
Lineage: Bacteria
Description: partial 16S ribosomal RNA
Rfam family: Bacterial small subunit ribosomal RNA
Source: RNAcentral